RNAcentral lists this long non-coding RNA (272 nucleotides) under Brassica napus (rape). RNAcentral describes it as "long non-coding RNA (BNAP_LNC001146)". Lineage: Eukaryota; Viridiplantae; Streptophyta; Magnoliopsida; Brassicales; Brassicaceae. The record is from RNAcentral.
CAAAGAAGAUUUGGAAGAUUUGGGCUUAUCACAAUAUUUAGGCAACUAGGGUAUUGUGUUAAGGGUAUUUAACCUGAUUACUUUGUGUAUAUCGAGGUUAGCCGUUUAUUGAUUAAAAAGCUAGAGCAAGAGGUUUGUUCUUGAGAGCUUAAGAAAGACGAGUACUCGAAGGUGUAGCUCGUGCUUUCUGUUUUGACAGAUUAGGAAUUGGUCCGUCUCUAGUCGUGUGUGGCUGAGAGUAAUUCGGAUUAAACAGAUCUAGGAAGAUUGUU